GAUCCUGGUUCAGGAUGAACGCUAGCUACAGGCUUAACACAUGCAAGUCGAGGGGCAGCGGGAAGUCAGCUUGCUGACUUUGCCGGCGACCGGCGCACGGGUGAGUAACACGUAUCCAACCUCCCGCAUACUCGGGAAUAGCCUUUCGAAAGAAAGAUUAAUGCCCGAUGGUUUCAAGGGAUUGCAUGGUAUCUUGAAUAAAGAUUCAUCGGUAUGCGAUGGGGAUGCGUUCCAUUAGG
This 239-nucleotide ribosomal RNA is filed under the name uncultured bacterium. RNAcentral describes it as "partial 16S ribosomal RNA". It matches the Rfam family "Bacterial small subunit ribosomal RNA", at positions 15 to 245 of the family's 1533-position model. The record is from RNAcentral.